Molecule: long non-coding RNA, 10113 nt
Filed under: Homo sapiens (human)
Lineage: Eukaryota; Metazoa; Chordata; Mammalia; Primates; Hominidae
Description: non-protein coding lnc-CLEC16A-8:2
Source: RNAcentral
GUUUCUCUUUCCGCGGUGGCGUCCGGCGAGGACCGCUUCGGCCCUGUUUCCCUCUCUUCUGGACCCUCCCGCGGGGCCCUCUGCCCGCCUGUUCGCACCUGCCCCAGCACCCGCCUCUCGAGGGGCUCUGGCCCCGACCCUGCGCCUUCCGGCCACUUCUCGGACCCCUCCUUCGGACUUGGCGACCCCGAUUUUGCCCCGCUACCUCGGGUUCCACUUUCUGCCGCCAGGCCCUCUUGGGACGCGCCCUGACACACCCUCCUCCGCCCCAGCUGUCUCCACACCCGCCGGGGGCAGAGCCCUGUCCUCUCCUCCCCUGCAGCCAGAUCCCCCUAGGAGGCCACAGAAGGUGUCCCCAACCCUGAGCCUGACCCCACCCGUAGACCCCCUCCUAGCCCCUGCUCCACCCGCCGUCGACGCCCUCAGUCGCCCGCCCUGCUGUCCCGAAGCCCCGGCCGGCCGCGGUCUCUGGUCUUGGCUCGGGCUUCCCGGGAAGCGGCGGCCUGACCACAGGCUUCAGAGGAACCCCUGGCGGCGCGGGCGCCUCCACCCCGGCCCAGUUCCUCGGAAACUGGGCGGGGCCGGGCAAGGUCCCUGGUGGCCUCGACUGCCCUCCCUGCGCUCCCACUACCCGGCUGCGGAAGAAACUGAGGCUGGGGAGGGGCUGGGAUUUGCAAUGGCUUGCAGAUUGGGAGCUCUGGACCUGGAUCUCGCCUUCCCCGUCUUCAUUUUGGGGAGAGGUGCAGCUGGACGACAUCAAAUUGGAGCCCAGUGAAAAAAUGGUGCAUUCUCAGACGUGAUGAAUCCCCAAACCUGGUUUCCUAGCCCUCCUCUCCCCCGACCCCUUCCUCAUAGAUUUCCCCCUCCUACUGCUCCGUCAGGCAUCUGCCCUUCAAAGACUGCCUUCCCACCACACACACGGCCGGGGCUUGGGAUGGUGGGCGGUCGGUGGUCGGGGCUGUAAUUUGCACACGUGUUUGUGAUUUAGUGAUUCCGAUUGUCGUGCGAGGCCAUGGAGUAGGUGCCUGGCUGCUCCGUGUAUUUUUGAAUGAAGGCAUGUGAGGAGCCCCAGCAUCACAAGGGGCCACAUAAAAACCUGGCUAGGCUGGGCACUUGGUUACUGGCCUCACACUGGGACACACUGCCCUCUACAGACAGCUCUCAGACGGCUUCUCUCCUGGAAGCCCUGGUGCCCAGUCCCUUCCCGCCUCCCUGGCCCCACGAUACCUCUUUCCCCAGGCAGAGCCUAGGUCCUUAUUAACCUCCUGAACACAGGGAGUGGCCCAGAAUCAGCCCAGCUUAGCACCCCAUCAGUGCCCUGAAUCUGCAUGUGGCCAGGGCUGGUGGUGGUCAUUGGUGUAGCCUCCUAGGUUGUGCGUGUGUGUGCGUGCGCGUGCGUGAGGGGGUGAGAGAAGAUGCAGAACCUUGCCUGCACCAGAGGUCAGGUGUGUGAUCAUUCGAGAGAUGUCCACUGAACAUCUGCUGGAGGCCACACUCUGUGGAGGGUGAUGGAAUACAAGGAGACCCAGUUCCAAAUCUGCACCUUUCUAUUCUUGUGACCUUGAGCAUGUAAUUAACCUCUCUGCCAUGGUUUCUUUAUCUGUGAAAUGGGGAUAAUAAUAGUACCUCUAGCAGGGCGCAGUAGCUCAUGCCUAUAAUCCCAGCACUUGGAAGGCCAAGACAGGAGGAUUGCUUGAGCCCAGGAGUUUGAGAACAGCCUGGGCAACAAAGUGAGACCCCCUCUCUACAAAAAAAAAAAAAAAAAAAAAAAAAUAGUACAAAAAUCAGCCAGUCGUAGUGGAUUGCACCUGCAGUCCCAGCUACUUGGGAGGCUGAAGCAGGAGGAUUGCCUGAGCCCAGGAGGUCAAGGCUGCAGUGAGCCACGAUUGUGUCACUGCACUCCAGCCGGGGCAACAGACUAAGACCCUGUCUCAAAAAAAAAUAAAUAAAUAGUACCUCCAUCCCGGGGUUGUAUGGGAAUUAAAUGAGUGAUUAUGGGUCAGGUGCUUAAAACAGCCCGUAGUGUCUAAUAAGCAGUCGGUAGAUGUUUGUUGUUCAUCUGAGGGUGCCUGUGGGUGUGGCAGUGUGUUGGAGCCCACAGACGCAUGGCUUCAACCCCUGUGUCCAUUUUUUUAAAGAGAUGGAGUGUAGCUCUGUUGCUCAGGCUGGAGUGUAGUGAUAGGAUCGAGGAGGCACUAUAGCCUCGACCUCCUGGGCUCAAGAGAUUCUCCCAUCUCAGCCUCCUGAGUAGCUGAGACUACAGGCACAUGCCACCACACCCGGCUAAUUUUUUAAAUUUUUUGUAGGGAUGGGGUCUCACUACGUUGCCCAGGCUGGUCUCGAACUCCUGUCCUUUAGUGACCCUCCUGCCCUGGCUUCCCAAAGCACUGCCUUAUAUCUAUGUUUGAAGCCCUAGUCCAGGGACCACAGGCCAGGGAAGGCACAGCAAGGGAGCAGGAAAGCUUCUAAAGGUACACUCAGCACACGUGGGUUCUCCUCACUGCCACCAGUGACAGACAGCUUUGGUUUCAUUUUCUGAAGUCCUGUGUUCAAAAUGAAACCAAAUCCAGAUGCCGAAAGAGAAAAGGAAAUCUGCUGGUUGACAAGCAUCCACCUUGUGGGCUGUUCUGCUGGAGGGCUGGGCACCAGGCUCACAGGAAGCCAGGCAGUGCGAAACCCUGAGGGGCUCAGAGUGCUCGGUAGGAUGGGACCAGGCUCUGACCCCAGACCUGCUGCAUGACCUUGGGCAAGUGACCUGUCCUCUUGGGACCUGAUUUGCCCCAACUGCAAAGUGAUCUCUGGACAUCUCGUACCUCACAGAGCAGCCAGACAUGCAGAGCCAAGGGCAAAAUGCCAGGCAUGGAGUCGGUGCUUGGCACAAUGACCUCUUGUCACAGGGCGGAUGGACCAGCCCUAUAUCCACAGCUUACUAAACCACAGCCACAGCCAGAUGUGUGGAAACAUUCUCCUCCCUAUCUUGGCAGAUCCUCGUACCCCAAAUGUGAGGGGCCCAGCCAGCAUCUGGGGGAAGUCAAGAUCCUGGUGGCUUAUGGCACUUAGCUUUUCAGUUUCUCUUUCCGGCUUUGGUGGCGCCUUGCUGGGAAAAGUAGCUCCUGGCCAGGGUGUGUAAUCGUGAAACUAGCCUCUGCCCCGGAAUUCCUCAGCCCUGCUUUUCCUCUAACCCAUGUGUCGGGAAGGUUCCCAUGGGAGUCUGUGCCCCUGGGAACCCCGAGCAGUGGGGCUCACAGUGUGGAUUCUGCUGACCGCUGGUCUGAAUUUAAAUGGGUCAUUUCAUAAGUAUGUGGCCUGGGGCCAGCUUCUUAGCUUUUCUGUGCCUCAGUUUCCAUAUUUGCAAGAUGGGAUAAUAACAUAUCUAUUUCACUUCUUCAGUAUUUAUUCAGCAGAUAUUUACUGAGUUCUUACUGUGUGCCAGGCGCAGGGGACUCAGAGGUCUUCAGGCAGACCUAGGGGAGUCAGUGAAUUCACACCAUCAGUGCAGACCAUACUGGGUGCUAUGUGGGAAAGAAACAGAGAGAAAGGGGUGACUGGGUGUUUGUAAGGUGAGAUAAGGAAGUUAGGGAAAGCCUCUUGGAGGUGGUGACAUUAGCACUGACGUCUUUCUAAAAGUGGGAUGAAGACCCCAGGUGGCGAGAACAGCCAGUGCAAAGGCCCUGUGGUGGGGGUGCUUGAAGAUAGGAAAGGAGAGUUGGUAUAGCGAGCCAGGGGGUGGUGUAGGGGUGAGGCAUAGGGGUUGGCAGGGUCUGAUCCAUCAGGCACGGCCUUGCUGGGCUGUGGCAGGGCUUUGGAUUUUGCCCUGAGUGCAUGGACCAGCCAUCCAGGCCCAAGCGACAGCAUAGGACUGAGUGUGGAAAGAACCUUCUAGCUGCUGACCUUCCCAGCUGCUGGGCUUUAGCCACGAUGAGCUGUAGUAGUGGCCUUGGGACACUUUCCCAUGGUCCUGUGAAUUGGAAAUUAUGUGUUUCCCUUGAUCAGAUGAGGAGAGCACAACUCAGGGAACUGGUGGAACUUGGUGAAGGUGUUUUGGGGAGCCCUGGGGCUUGGCAGAACCUGGCCUGAAGUCCUCUGUCGGGAGAGGUUGCUUUGAUGUUUGGAGUAGAUCCUUUCUGCUCCCACCACAGGAACGAUUGUGUGUCUCAGUGGCGGGUAGAGGGGUGUGAGCUCAGAGGACCUGAGUCCAAGGAGAAGGUGUGAGAGGCCAGGGAACGAUGGCAUGAGCCAGUGGCUGACUCCAAAGUGGCGCCAGUCCUGGAGACUUGAUGAGACUCUUCUAGCAGGCACAGGUGAAGAAAGGAGAGGUGAAGUCAGCUGUUACUUGAAGUAGUCAGUAGUCACUGGCUUUCAGAAAGCAGUCAAGAUUGUUUCGUUAACAGCUGCAAAAUAGGAGGGGCAGGAAAGUAGAAUUCUAGGAAUGCUGGUGGAGGGGUCCAGACACACCUGCUUCCAGUCCCAGCUCCCCUCCCCAUCAGCUGUGUGGCUUCAGGCAAGUUGACUGAAUCCAGUGGUCCAGAGAACUCUCACAAAGCCCGAGCCUGGGAAGCACAGUGCCUGUUCCUCAGUAAAUCCCUUGGGAUCUUUGUCGUGGCCUAUUCACUCCAUUUUUGCACAGUAUUCCAACAAGCCUAACAGGUUUCUACCCACCCCACCCCAUCCCAUAAGUGACAAAUUAGGUGUCAGCAGCUGACAGCAAGGACCAGUAGCGGUGACAUAGGGGGCAAAGAACUUGCAGAAACUAUGAAACUAGGCACAAGAGCUAGCACGCAGCAGGCUGGGGACGUUAGAGUGUGGAGCAGGAAGAUUCCUCAUGUCCAUGGGCCCUCACUGUGGUGAUGCUGUUGAGAAUGUCGGGUAUCGCAAUGAGAGGUAGAAUAGGGCCCAGUUCUCUCUGAGGAGGCGUCUGGUCUCAGGGCACACAGAGCAGCAGCAGUCUCCUCCCAUGCCACGAUGUGGGAAGCCCAGCGUCUACUGGCCCAAUUGGCAGUGCCCUGAACAGGCUCAGGGAGGGGUAACCCUCAACCGAGUUGUAAAGAGUGAGCAUCACGGCCGGGCGCAGUGGCUCACGCCUGUAAUCCCAGCACUUUGGGAGGCGGAGGCAGGCAGAUCACGAGGUCAGGAGAUGGAGACCAUCCUGGCUAACACGGUGAAACGCCGUCUCUACUAAAAAUACAAAAAAUUAGCCGGGCGUGGUGGUGGGCGCCUGUAGUCCCAGCUACUUGGGAGGCUGAGGCCGGAGAAUGGCGUGAACCCAGGAGGCGGAGCUUGCAGUGAGCAGAGAUGGCGCCACUGCACUGCAGCCUGGGCGACAGAGCAAGACUCCAUCUCAAAAAAAAAAAGAGUGAGCAUCACUUGAGUUCAGGAGUUCAAGACCAGCCUGGGCAGCAUGACAAAACCCCAUCUCUACAAAAAUAUGAAAAAAUUAGUUGGGCAUGGUGACACAUACCUGUGGUCCCUGCUACUUGGGAGCCUCAGGUGGGAGGAUCACUUGAGCUCGGAAGACAGAGAUGGCAGUGAGCUGAGAUCACACCACUGCACUCCAGCCCGGGUGACUUAGGGAGACCCUGUCUCAAAAAAAAAAAAAAAAAAAAAAAAAAAAAAAAGAGCUCUCACCAAGGGAACGGAGGGAGAACAUAUUCCGGGCAGAGCAUGACAAGAAUGUGAGGCCCUGGGCAGAGCAUGAGGCCAAAGGUAAGCCGGACACCCCAAGGCAGCCCUAGUGGCUUCUAGGAGGAGACUCGUCUGGAGGAAGGGAGAGGGCUGGACUGGACCUCUGCCUGCCCUGGAGUAAUGAGUCCCUCUGUGGGAGAGCGUUCUGGGUCACCUUGCCCAAACCAGCAAGCCCAGAGCAGGGGCUGAUGUUAUAUCCACAUGCCUUUACUGCCUCUCCAGAUUCAACAGAGCUUCGCUGAGCACCCAUUAGACACAUUCACUGAUGCUCAUUCCUUUUUUAUCCUCUUUUUCCUUCAAUUUUCCUCCCUCUAGGUAACCCAGGCACCAGCUUGGUCUGUUCUUUGGGAUCUUUUUUAUUUUUAUUUUUAUUUUUUGAUACUGGGUCUCCCUCUGUCACUCAGGCUGGGGUGCAGUGGCGUGAACACAGCUCACUGCAGCCUUGACACCCCCACCCCACCCCCACUGUGCUCAAGCAAUCCUCCUGACUCAGCUUCCCAUGUAGGUGGCACGCAUUGCCAUGCCCAGCUAAUUUUUUCAUUUUUAGGGAGACAGAGUCUCACUUUGUUUCCUAGGCUGGUCUCAAACUCCUGGCUUCAAGUGAUCCUCCCGCGUGGGCCUCGCAAAGCGCUGAGAUUAUAGGCAUAAGCCACUGCUCCCACCCUGGGAUCUUUUUCUAUGCAUCUACAUGCUUGUAUUUUGACCCAUAAAAAUUAUGUUCCUUGGCCAGGUGUGGUGGCUCAUGCCUGUAAUCCUAGCGCUUUGGGAGGUCGAGCUGGGAGGAUCACUUGUGGUCAGUUCGAGGCUGUGGUGAGCUAUGAUUGUGCCACUGCACUCCAGCCGAGGUGACAGAGCAAGACCCCAAUUAUUUAAAAAAAAAAAAUAGUAUUCCUUUGUGUAGGACUUUUCCCUCUAUCAAUGUCAUGUCUUUCUCCAUCUUGCACUUUCCACCCAACAGAUACUCUGGCAAUCUGGCUAGAUCACAUAUAGAUCGACCCCAUGCUCCUUAAGAACUGCAUGAUACUCCUCAGCGUAUGUUCAUUUAGCCGUCCCCGGUGGGUGGACACAUAGGUUGUAUUUUUGCUCUUGCAAACAGCGUGGCCUGCACCUCCCUGUACAGCCUCUUGGCACACAUGUGAUAAACCGUUCUUACCGUUUGAAUGUUCAUAGGUGCCACCCAGUCACCUGCCAGCGUGCUGUGCACAUUUACCUUCUGGGCAAAAGCAUUCAACAAUGUUUCCCCAUGCCUUCACCAUUAUCUUACUUUUUCCAUUUUUGCCUAUUUGAUGAUUUGGUAAGUGGUGGCUUCUCAUUGUUGCUUUAAUGCCUGCUUCUUCUUUCAUUUAUUCAACAAAUACUUACUGCACUCCUAAUAUGUGCCAGGCACUGUGCUAAGUCCCGGAGAUGCAGCAGUGAACAGCAUGGCCUCCUCGGUUCUCUUUACAAAGUGUGAGACGCACCUGAGACUCAGAGAGAUUAAGGAAUAGUCCUGGGGUCACCCAGCGAGGGAAUGGGAGAGCUGGGAUUUGAAGCUGGGUCUGUGUGGCUGCAGGGUUUGAGAUGUUUUUCCUUUCGAAUCAUAGCUCACAUGGGCAUCUCCACCAGGGUCUGCCCUCUCAUCUGACCCACUCCAUUCCCGACUCCUGCCCCAACCCAGGACCACUGCAUUUCCCCUUGGUGAUCCCUCAGGCCCACAGGAGUGACAGCCCUGCAGCUAACCCCACCACAGGACAGGCUGCACCUCAUUGUUCCCCAGACCUCACCUCACCCCCUAGUAGCCCACUGAAAUUAAAUCUCUGAGUAUCAAGACAGCUCAUCUUCAGAACCCACGUACUCUCUUGCUGGCUGGAUUUAUUGUCUGUCUCUCUCCAUUUCCUGAAUUUGGGUCUCCAGCAGGCCUGUCCCCAACCUGCUGCCACCCACCCCAAGCCGAGUAAGUGAAAGCAUGAAUCUGUGGUUGGAUUAUUUUUUCCUGUCAUCAUUGUACGUCUGACUGUACAAGGGUGGCGUGUAUUGUGAGUGCUUGCCUACAUGUGUGUUUCCUGUGGGAAGGGUCAGGGGAGGUGACUGAGAGCCUUCAUGCACAUGUAGGGGUGUGUAUGUGUACUUGGGGUCCACAUGUGAAUGUGGGUCUCUGUGUCUGAGUGGGUUUGAACAGCUGCUUCUUCAUACGUGUGGCCAGGAGUUCGAGGCUGUGGUGAGCUAUGAUUGUAUAUAUGACUAUCCGUGUUUGUGCCACUUUUGUGUUGGUUGUGUUGGUGUUGCUUUCAGGGAAAUGUGGAGUUAAAGGUAGGUCCAUAAGCCACACGUGUGACCCAGUCCAUUGGCUUAUAAUAAAAGAUUUACCUUCAGUAAUCAUAUCAUAAAAGGACACUGCCCAGGAAGUAGGGAGGUCCUUUGGUGAGUGGGGCUCAAAGUCCCUGACUUUAUGUCUAACCCUGUCUCCACUUCCUCUUUCAAAAUAUGUUCCCCAGAAGGGCCUCCCUAACUCUUUUGCACCGAUGUGUCAGUGACUAUCAUGGCUUAAUGUGGCCUUACAUUUGGGAACCAGUAAGUUUUGGGCAAAACAUGAAUCUCUUAUCUCAGACCUGCCUGCCAGGAGUCCUUGACCAAGUUGUUUCACCUCUGAGUCUCAGCUUCUUCAUCUGUACAGUGGGACCAAUAAUGUCUCUUGUUGAGGAGCGUGGAUUCCGUGGAAAUAUUUAUGUCAAAACAUCUGGCAUCUAGUAGGUGCUCGAUAAAUGGAAUUCCCGAGUAUGCUUGGGUGCUUCCCCAUACCCUCUCCUAAUAGAAACAACCUGGAACAUUUCCCUGCUGUGAGAGGAGGAUAAAGGGACCCAAGGAAAGGAGACUGAUGGUGACAUUGAGUGGCAUUGAUCGGGUGGACCAGGCCCUCUCUUGGAUGCUUGCAGGUGCAUUAUCUCAAUGAACCUCCACUGGGACCCCUCCAGGCAGGCACCAUUAGCCUCCCAUUUUACAGAAAAGACCAGGAUGCAGACAGGGGACAUGACUUGCUCAAGGCCACACAGCUGAGAUCUGAAAGAGGACCUUCCAUGUCAUGCCACUGCCUGGGAUGGGCUCAGCAAAGCUUGGAGUCCUGCAAGGCCUUCCCCAAGACACCUGGGUCCAUUUCCCUUCCCUGCAGACAGCCCAUCACCACUCAUUUCUACUCCUGCCCCACCUCCCUUCACCUGUUCACCCUGUUCCUUCAGCCCAAAUGUCAAAUGCAGCACAAAAGAAAACAAAGUGACCCUGUGUCUGGCGCUAUGCUGGGCAGCUUAUCACACACCAGGCUGCUGGGUACCCCGCCCCCCAGUAUGUCAGAACGAUGAGCCCAUUAGACAGAGGGGGAGAGUGAGGCUCAGAGUGGUCUAGUCCCAGCCGCCGCAGCUAGGAUAGUGAGAACUAGGGCAAACUUGAGUCUGACCCUAAAACCAAGGCUUGUGGGUAUGAAGGUCAGAAGCCAAUUUACCCAAGACCCUGACCAUUCCCCAGUCCUUUUGUCUGGCAGCCGGCAUUCCUUCACGAAAAUCUGCCUGGUACUUUUUAUGCCAUGUUAACAGCAGAGGUUUACUGAGUGCCAAGCACUGAGCCCAGACACCAUGUCACAUGCAUGACACACUGACCUCUCCCAACCUCCCAGCAAGGGUGCCCAUUUUGCAAAUGAGAGCAGGUUUCCUACUUGGAAGCAGGGUUCUGUCUGGUUCACCCUUAUCUUCCCUCCUUGGCCUUAGCCCAAAGCCCACACAAGUGGGUGCUCAGUAAAUGUUUGCGAAAGAGGAAUGAGGAAGGCAGGACUCUGGGCAUUAUCUUGGGAGGAACCUCCAGCCCACCCGUUGUGGAAAAUCACCCCGCUAGACCGGGCUGCCAUUCUGCCAAUUGCUGUACCCUGUCCCAUCCCCUGCAGUCCAGUCUCCACACAGCAGCCAGCACCACUUUGAAAACACACACCAGGUGGCCGGGCGCAGUAGCUCACGCCUGUAAUCCCAGCACUUUGGGAGGCCAAGGCAGGCGGAUCACAAGGUCAGGAGAUCGAGACCAUCCUGGCUAACACGGUGAAACCCUGUCUCUACUAAAAAUACAAAAAAGUUAGCUGGGCGUGGCGGUGUGCACCUGUAGUCCCAGCUACUCGGGAGGCUGAGGCAGGAGAAUGGUGUGAAGCUGGGAGGCGGAGCUUGCAGUGAGACGAGAUGGCGCCACUGCACUCCAGCCUGGGCGACAGAGCAAGACUCCAUCUCAGAAAAAAAAAAAGAAAAAAGAAAACACACACCAGGCUUGGUGCAGUGGCUCACGCCUGUAAUCCUAACACUCUGGGAGGCCGAGGUGGGAGGAUUGCUUGCGCUCAGGAGUUUUUAAGACCAGCCUGGGCAACAUAGUGAGACCCCAUCUCUACAAAAAGUAAAAAAAUAAGCCGGGCACAGUGGCUCACGC